UUACAUUGCGAAGCCUGGUUUCCCCCUUGCUCACCUUCUCUCUCUCUUCUUCUCUCCUUUGCUUGCCCUGAUGGAAUCCAGUUGCUGUGAUGGAAGCUGCCCCAUAGAGAGGUCCACAUGGCAGUGAGGACCUGUGGGCUGCUAACAGCCACAUGACUGAGCCUGGGAGCGGACUAACCCCCAGUUGAACCUUGAGAUGAAGAGUGCAAACUCAUGAGAGACCUCGAGUCAGAUGAACCAACUAGAUCACACUGGAUUCCUGACCUACAGAAGACUAGGAGAACAAACUCUCCAGCCGGCUGCAUUUCCCCUGCCCUUAAGAGACCUGGGGGGAGAACUCUCAAACCAAUAGGGCAGUCGUCAAAGCGACACCAAGAGGUAAACCCCACGUGAAUAAGAGACGUAACACUUUACCGCACAGGAGUAA
This 427-nucleotide long non-coding RNA is filed under the name Mustela putorius furo (domestic ferret). Its description in RNAcentral is "lncRNA (ENSMPUG00000030788.1)". The record is from RNAcentral. Lineage: Eukaryota; Metazoa; Chordata; Mammalia; Carnivora; Mustelidae.